This is a non-coding RNA of Lachnospiraceae bacterium 10-1, 222 nucleotides long. The record is from Rfam. NCBI's taxonomy places the organism in Bacteria, Bacillati, Bacillota, Clostridia, Lachnospirales, Lachnospiraceae.
CAAAUCCUGUCUGCGAAGGUCUAGCCAACCAGCAGUAGCGAGUCUUGCGUGGCAGUCAGUAAUGGCUGGUGCGAAGCGUAGACAGCGAGCAAGCAGGGCUGCAAUGCGAUUGAGCCUCGAAAUGUUGAAGUUCAGAGGGCUGACGUCUUAACUGGUGCGGAAAGCAAUAUCGGGCAGUUCGUAUAAGGCGAGAACUGUCCGGCACUGCGGGGUCAAAGAGCC